UUUCCUCAAAAAACCUUGGGAGGAAAGAGCAAAGGCUCGAUUCAGCUGCAGCUGAGCUCAUAGGGAAUGGCAACCUGUGCAGUCUAUACCACUCCAUCCCUCCACUCAUGUUCUAUCACCAGCCCAGCAAAGACUUCAUUGGGCUUCCACCAAAGGCAGGUCAUCUUCUUCACUAGCAGGAGAAUUACCAAGAGAGGAGGGAGGAGUACCUCAGAGGUCACGUGCUCUGCUGAGGCUAAGACGGUGGUGAUAGGGCUGGCAGCAGACUCGGGCUGCGGGAAGAGCACCUUCAUGAGGAGGCUGACGAGUGUGUUCGGAGGUGCAGCUGAGCCACCCAAGGGAGGAAACCCAGACUCCAACACAUUGAUCAGUGACACCACCACUGUCAUAUGCCUGGAUGACUACCACUCCUUGGACAGAACCGGGAGGAAGGAGAAGGGUGUCACUGCUCUGGACCCGAGGGCCAACAACUUCGAC
RNAcentral lists this long non-coding RNA (477 nucleotides) under Musa acuminata (dwarf banana). Its description in RNAcentral is "long non-coding RNA (MACU_LNC002204)". The record is from RNAcentral. Lineage: Eukaryota; Viridiplantae; Streptophyta; Magnoliopsida; Zingiberales; Musaceae.